Molecule: transfer RNA, 59 nt
Filed under: Lychas mucronatus (Chinese swimming scorpion)
Lineage: Eukaryota; Metazoa; Arthropoda; Arachnida; Scorpiones; Buthidae
Description: tRNA-Leu
Source: RNAcentral
AUCAUUGUAGCAAAUAAUGCGAUGGGUUUAAGCUCCAUUUAUAGUAAAUCUCUUUGAAG